CCUACGGGAGGCAGCAGUGAGGAAUAUUGGUCAAUGGGCGUAAGCCUGAACCAGCCAAGUCGCGUGAGGGAUGAAGGUUCUAUGGAUUGUAAACCUCUUUUAUACGGGAAUAAAGUGCGGGACGUGUCCCGCUUUGCAUGUACCUUAUGAAUAAGGAUCGGCUAACUCCGUGCCAGCAGCCGCGGUAAUACGGAGGAUCCGAGCGUUAUCCGGAUUUAUUGGGUUUAAAGGGUGCGUAGGCGGCCUUUCAAGCCAGCGGUGAAAGUUUGUGGCUCAACCAUAGAAUUGCAGUUGAAACUGGCAGGCUUGAGUAUGCUUGAGGCAGGCGGAAUGCGUGGUGUAGCGGUGAAAUGCUUAGAUAUCACGCAGAACCCCGAUUGCGAAGGCAGCCUGCCAAGCCAUGACUGACGCUGAUGCUCGAAAGCGUGGGGAUCAAACAGGAUUAGAUACCCUUGUAGUC
This 460-nucleotide ribosomal RNA is filed under the name uncultured bacterium. RNAcentral describes it as "partial 16S ribosomal RNA". It matches the Rfam family "Bacterial small subunit ribosomal RNA", at positions 338 to 795 of the family's 1533-position model. The record is from RNAcentral.